This 68-nucleotide transfer RNA is filed under the name Psalidodon fasciatus (banded astyanax). RNAcentral's name for it is "tRNA-Cys". It matches the Rfam family "tRNA". Rfam says of the family: Transfer RNA (tRNA) molecules are approximately 80 nucleotides in length. Their secondary structure includes four short double-helical elements and three loops (D, anti-codon, and T loops). Further hydrogen bonds mediate the characteristic L-shaped molecular structure. tRNAs have two regions of fundamental functional importance: the anti-codon, which is responsible for specific mRNA codon recognition, and the 3' end, to which the tRNAs corresponding amino acid is attached (by aminoacyl-tRNA synthetases). tRNAs cope with the degeneracy of the genetic code in two manners: having more than one tRNA (with a specific anti-codon) for a particular amino acid; and 'wobble' base-pairing, i.e. permitting non-standard base-pairing at the 3rd anti-codon position. The record is from RNAcentral. Lineage: Eukaryota; Metazoa; Chordata; Actinopteri; Characiformes; Acestrorhamphidae. RNAcentral also lists the same sequence under 2 other names.
AGCUCCGUGGUGUAUAGGCUCAUUGAAUUGCAAAUUCAAAGGCGCAGGCUAAUUACCUGCCGGGGCUU